RNAcentral lists this ribosomal RNA (485 nucleotides) under uncultured bacterium. RNAcentral describes it as "partial 16S ribosomal RNA". It matches the Rfam family "Bacterial small subunit ribosomal RNA", at positions 899 to 1397 of the family's 1533-position model. The record is from RNAcentral.
ACUCAAAGGAAUUGACGGGGGCCCGCACAAGCAGCGGAGCGUGUGGUUUAAUUCGAGGUUACACGAAGAACCUUACCUGGGUUUGACAUGCCGACCAACGACGCUGAAAGGCGGAGGGCCGCAAGGGGUCGGCACAGGUGCUGCAUGGCUGUCGUCAGCUCGUGCCGUGAGGUGUUAGGUUAAGUCCUGUAACGAGCGCAACCCCCGGGUCCAGUUACACGCAGUCUGGACCGACUGCCCGCGACAAGCGGGAGGAAGGUGGGGAUGAUGUCAAGUCAGCAUGGCCUUUAUAUCCAGGGCUACACACACGCUACAAUGGCCGGUACAAUGGGUCGCCAAGCCGCAAGGCGGAGCCAAUCCAGACAAAGCCGGUCCCAGUUCAGAUUGUGGGCUGCAACCCGCCCACAUGAAGUCGGAGUUGCUAGUAACCGCCGGUCAGCCAUACGGCGGUGAAUACGUUCCCGGGCCUUGUACACACCGCCCGU